This 880-nucleotide ribosomal RNA is filed under the name uncultured archaeon. Its description in RNAcentral is "bacterial SSU rRNA". It matches the Rfam family "Archaeal small subunit ribosomal RNA", at positions 54 to 922 of the family's 1478-position model. The record is from RNAcentral.
CGAGUUGAAUGGGAUACCUAAAGUUCCCAUAGCAAACUGCUCAGUAACACAUGAUCAACUACCCUAUAGAGAAAAAUAACCUCGGGAAACUGAGGAUAAUGUUUCAUAAUUGAAUUGGCUUGGAAAAGUUUUUCAAUGAAAAGGAUAAAAAAAAUGGUUUUUAUCUGCUAUAGGAUAGGAUCGUGUUCGAUUAUGGUUGUUGGUGAGAUAAUGGCUCACCAAGCCGAUAAUCGAUAGGGGCCGUGAGAGCGGGAGCCCCGAGAUGGGUACUGAGACAACGACCCAGGCCUUACGAGGCGCAGCAGGCGCGGAACCUCCGCAAUACACGAAAGUGUGACGGGGUUACCCAAAGUGUUCAAUAGAACUGUGGUAGGUGAGUAAUGUCCCCUACUAGAAAGGAGAGGGCAAGGCUGGUGCCAGCCGCCGCGGUAAAACCAGCUCUUCAAGUGGUCGGGAUAAUUAUUGGGCUUAAAGUGUCCGUAGCCGGUUUAGUAAGUUCCUGGUAAAAUCGGGUAGCUUAACUAUCUGCAUGCUAGGAAUACUGCUAUACUAGAGGGCGGGAGAGGUCUGAGGUACUACAGGGGUAGGGGUGAAAUCUUAUAAUCCUUGUAGGACCACCAGUGGCGAAGGCGUCAGACUGGAACGCGCCUGACGGUGAGGGACGAAAGCCAGGGGAGCGAACCGGAUUAGAUACCCGGGUAGUCCUGGCCGUAAACGAUGCAUACUAGGUGAUGGUACGGCCAUGAGCCGUAUCAGUGCCGUAGGGAAACCGUUAAGUGUGCCGCCUGGGAAGUACGGUCGCAAGGCUAAAACUUAAAGGAAUUGGCGGGGGAGCACCACAAGGGGUGAAGCCUGCGGUUCAAUUGGAUUCAACGCCGGA